CCCUCAAUGGCUCAGUAGCCAGUGUAGAUCCUGUCUUUUGUAAUCAGCAGCUACAUCUGGCUACUGGGUCUCUGAUGGC
RNAcentral lists this microRNA precursor (79 nucleotides) under Ictidomys tridecemlineatus (thirteen-lined ground squirrel). RNAcentral's name for it is "microRNA 222 (ENSSTOG00000021281.2)". It matches the Rfam family "mir-221 microRNA precursor family". The record is from RNAcentral. Lineage: Eukaryota; Metazoa; Chordata; Mammalia; Rodentia; Sciuridae.